UUCCUACGGGAGGCAGCAGUAGGGAAUCUUCCGCAAUGGACGAAAGUCUGACGGAGCAACGCCGCGUGAGCGAAGAAGGUCUUCGGAUUGUAAAGCUCUGUUGUUAGGGAAGAACAAGUGUGGUUCGAAUAGGGCCGUACCUUGACGGUACCUAACGAGAAAGCCACGGCUAACUACGUGCCAGCAGCCGCGGUAAUAA
Molecule: ribosomal RNA, 199 nt
Filed under: uncultured Anoxybacillus sp.
Lineage: Bacteria; Bacillati; Bacillota; Bacilli; Caryophanales; Anoxybacillaceae
Description: partial 16S ribosomal RNA
Rfam family: Bacterial small subunit ribosomal RNA
Source: RNAcentral